This 450-nucleotide unclassified non-coding RNA is filed under the name Hevea brasiliensis (rubber tree). The record is from RNAcentral. Lineage: Eukaryota; Viridiplantae; Streptophyta; Magnoliopsida; Malpighiales; Euphorbiaceae.
GUGGCCACCUCAACCCCGCCGUCACUCUUGGUCUCCUUUUGGGUGGCCACAUCACAGUUGUUCGAUCCGCUCUAUAUUGGAUCGUUCAGUUACUAGCAGCUUCAGCUGCUAGCUUUUUGUUAACGUACCUCACCGGAGGCUUGGUCACUCCAAUUCAUACAUUAGCAAGCGGAGUUGGUUAUAUUCAGGGAGUGAUAUGGGAGAUUAUUCUAACCUUUUCCUUGCUAUUCACUGUGUAUGGAACAAUUGUUGACCCAAAAAAGGGGGCUCUUGAUGGGCUGGGUCCAUUGCUGACUGGGUUUGUGGUGGGAGCCAACAUCUUGGCUGGUGGGGCUUUUUCAGGAGCUUCAAUGAACCCAGCAAGAUCAUUUGGGCCAGCUUUGGUGGCUGGAGACUGGACUGACCAUUGGGUUUACUGGGUUGGGCCUCUUAUUGGUGGUGGGCUUGCUG